RNAcentral lists this ribosomal RNA (361 nucleotides) under uncultured archaeon. RNAcentral describes it as "bacterial SSU rRNA". It matches the Rfam family "Archaeal small subunit ribosomal RNA", at positions 75 to 437 of the family's 1478-position model. The record is from RNAcentral.
AACAUAGCAGAUUGCUCAGUAGCACGUGGAUAACCUGCCCUUAGGACUGGCAUAACCCCGGGAAACUGGGGAUAAUUCCGGAUAGAUCAUAAAUGCUGGAAUGCUUUAUGAUUGAAAGGUUUCGACCGCCUUAGGAUGGAUCUGCGGCCUAUCAGGUUGUAGUGGGUGUAAUGUACCUACUAGCCUACGACGGGUACGGGUUGUGGAAGCAAGAGCCCGGAGAUGGAUUCUGAGACAUGAAUCCAGGCCCUACGGGGCGCAGCAGGCGCGAAAACUUUACAAUGCGGGAAACCGUGAUAAGGGAACACUGAGUGCUAGCAUUUAUGUUAGCUGUCCACAUGUGUAAAUAGCAUGUGAUAGC